CGAGCGGCGGACGGGUGAGUAAUGUCUGGGAAACUGCCUGAUGGAGGGGGAUAACUACUGGAAACGGUAGCUAAUACCGCAUAACGUCGCAAGACCAAAGAGGGGGACCUUCGGGCCUCUUGCCAUCAGAUGUGCCCAGAUGGGAUUAGCUAGUAGGUGGGGUAACGGCUCACCUAGGCGACGAUCCCUAGCUGGUCUGAGAGGAUGACCAGCCACACUGGAACUGAGACACGGUCCAGACUCCUACGGGAGGCAGCAGUGGGGAAUAUUGCACAAUGGGCGCAAGCCUGAUGCAGCCAUGCCGCGUGUAUGAAGAAGGCCUUCGGGUUGUAAAGUACUUUCAGCGGGGAGGAAGGCGUUGAGGUUAAUAACCUCAGCGAUUGACGUUACCCGCAGAAGAAGCACCGGCUAACUCCGUGCCAGCAGCCGCGGUAAUACGGAGGGUGCAAGCGUUAAUCGGAAUUACUGGGCGUAAAGCGCACGCAGGCGGUCUGUCAAGUCGGAUGUGAAAUCCCCGGGCUCAACCUGGGAACUGCAUUCGAAACUGGCAGGCUAGAGUCUUGUAGAGGGGGGUAGAAUUCCAGGUGUAGCGGUGAAAUGCGUAGAGAUCUGGAGGAAUACCGGUGGCGAAGGCGGCCCCCUGGACAAAGACUGACGCUCAGGUGCGAAAGCGUGGGGAGCAAACAGGAUUAGAUACCCUGUAGUCCACGCCGUAAACGAUGUCGACUUGGAGGUUGUGCCCUUGAGGCGUGGCUUCCGGAGCUAACGCGUUAAGUCGACCGCCUGGGGAGUACGGCCGCAAGGUUAAAACUCAAAUGAAUUGACGGGGGCCCGCACAAGCGGUGGAGCAUGUGGUUUAAUUCGAUGCAACGCGAAGAACCUUACCUACUCUUGACAUCCAGAGAACUUUCCAGAGAUGGAUUGGUGCCUUCGGGAACUGUGAGACAGGUGCUGCAUGGCUGUCGUCAGCUCGUGUUGUGAAAUGUUGGGUUAAGUCCCGCAACGAGCGCAACCCUUAUCCUUUGUUGCCAGCGGUCCGGCCGGGAACUCAAAGGAGACUGCCAGUGAUAAACUGGAGGAAGGUGGGGAUGACGUCAAGUCAUCAUGGCCCUUACGAGUAGGGCUACACACGUGCUACAAUGGCGCAUACAAAGAGAAGCGACCUCGCGAGAGCAAGCGGACCUCAUAAAGUGCGUCGUAGUCCGGAUUGGAGUCUGCAACUCGACUCCAUGAAGUCGGAAUCGCUAGUAAUCGUAGAUCAGAAUGCUACGGUGAAUACGUUCCCGGGCCUUGUACACACCGCCCGUCACACCAUGGGAGUGGGUUGC
This 1328-nucleotide ribosomal RNA is filed under the name Enterobacter ludwigii. RNAcentral describes it as "bacterial SSU rRNA". It matches the Rfam family "Bacterial small subunit ribosomal RNA", at positions 92 to 1418 of the family's 1533-position model. Lineage: Bacteria; Pseudomonadati; Pseudomonadota; Gammaproteobacteria; Enterobacterales; Enterobacteriaceae. The record is from RNAcentral.